Loxodonta africana (African savanna elephant) is the source of this 6574-nucleotide long non-coding RNA. RefSeq lists it as uncharacterized. NCBI's taxonomy places the organism in Eukaryota, Metazoa, Chordata, Mammalia, Proboscidea, Elephantidae. The transcript is spliced from 3 exons. The record is from RefSeq and is a predicted model, not a curated record.
UAGGAGGCUAGAAGACUGAAUUCAGGGUUCCAGGAGAAGUCUUUCUCCCUCUGUCGGCUCUGGGGGAAGGUCCUUGUUAUCAAUCCUCCCAGGUUGAGGAGCUUCUCCAUGCAGGUACCCCGUGUCCAAAGAACAUGCUAUUCUCCUGGCUCUUGUUUCUUGGUGGUAUGAGGUCCCCAAACCAAACCAAGGCUGUUGCUAUCGAGUCAAUUCUGACUCAUCGUGACCCUCUAGGACAUAGAACUGCCCCACAGGGUUUCCAAGGAGCAGCUAGCUGGUGGAUUCGAGCUCCUUACCUUUUGGCUAGCAGCAGAGCUCUUAACCACUGUGCCACUAGGGCUCCAAGGACUGCUCCAAGGGGAGUUAAUUCUGCUGCACUUCUAGCCUACUCUUCACAAAGGCAGAGUCAGCUUCUGAGGCUUCAAAGAAAGGGCCCAGGCAGGGAGAAGCAGAUAAGGCAGUGGAAAGUCCCUGGAGCACACAGAAAUGAUGAAACCCAAGGGAUAUGGGUGGGGCCCGACAGUGUCAGUCACAGCCUCCAACUCUGAUUUGCUUAGUCUCCAAGCCUGAAGGUGGAGGCAGCAGAAGGGCCCCCAGAGGACUCUUAACUCCAUGAAUGUGAGCAAGACAGAAAGGGAGAGGCUGAGGACAAGUAGAGCUGGCCUGGGAGGGCACAGCACCAAAGCAGGCAUCCCUGUUGAAACUGAGUAGCCCCGGAGAGUAUGGUGCUUUUUCCCUACUGAGGGCCAAGCUACACUCUUUCUGGAGCUGCUGGGGCCUGGCCUUGCCUGUACCUGAGUGUCUGGAGUAACAUUCGAGGGUUGGAGAAGGGAGUGUGUAGGUGGCUCUGUGGAACAUCAGCCAUUAGACUAGAUUUUUUAGGGACCGAAGCCAGAAUGGAUUUCCCAAGCAUGACUAGCAGCUAGGCCAGAAUGCCUGGGUUUCUGAAUGGGGAGCACGUACAGCGGAGUGGGAGGGAGCCUGAGGGGCAGGUGUUGGGUCUGGGGCCCUAGGGGGAACGGGAUGAAUACCAGUUCUACGAGAGAGAAACCAGGAAGGAAUGGAGGCCAGACCCACGGUCCUGGAAGGAGGAGGAAAUUGGAACUGACUUGGCUGAGCAGUUCUGGCCCAGGUUCUCUCAUGAGGUUGUGGUCAGGUGUCAGCUGGUGCUGCAGUCAUUUGAAGACUUGACUAGAGUUGAAGGAUCUACUUCCAAAGGAGCUCAUAUGGAUGUGACAGCAUCCCAAAGAGACUACCAGUUCCCUGCUGGCAGCAACUGCAAAACCAUGGUUUCUGUCUCUUCUAAGUCUGCUUCUUCAACUUGCCCUCCUGUUCUGUGAGGCACCCCAUUUCUUUCCAGUAAAUUCUAUUUUUUACAUCUUACCCAGAAUUUGUUUCUGUUUUUUUACCCAAAAGGCCCUAACUAAUGAACUACUUAACAAAGAUUUGUGAUUAUUAAAUUAAAUAAUCUAUGUGAAAAACUUAGCACAGUGCCUGGCGUAUAGGAUGUGUCCAACAAAUGGUAUUAAAAAAAAUUGUUUUCAGUGAAGUUCUACACAGCAGCUUAGGUUUCCAUUCAGCAAUUUCUGCACAAGUUGUUCUGUGACAUUGGUUACAUCAAAGAGUAAAUUUUCUGAGUCUGUUAAAGUAAAAACAAAGAGUUUUAUUGAUGGGGACGCAAUUUGUGAAUUGGGAAAUAGUGCGAGGAGGAAUCUACACAGUGCUACAAAUUGUGGGGGAAUGAGAGAGAUAUUUAUAUAAGGAAAAGGGGGAGCUUCUAGGAAAAAUUCUGAUUGGUUGACAUUUACUUUACAAUUACAGAGUAGCCAUGAAACAAUCACAGGGUGAUCUAAGGCUCCUUACUCAAAUUAUAUCUUGUUUAACACUAGAUAGUUCUACUUUCUAAAAUCCUGCUUGUAUACAUUGCACUAUUUUUUCUGAGAACAAUUGUUUUUCAAGACUUAAUCUUUAACUACAGGUUUCUAUCUCUCCUGUUUAUCUUAUUUAGGAAUUUUCUAUUAGGGCAGUCAGGGGCUUGAGUCUUAGCAAAGAUUCACUACAGGAGCAAAGAUGGAGUCUACAGAGGCUAACUUAAACAAAAUGGAGUCCAGUGCAGGCCCUGGGCCAGGCAUCUCCAUUGUGCUAAGGGCCUCAAUUUAAGUGUCCUUACACAGUCUCUAUUUCUGAUCAUGAAUUUCCAUAGAAAUUCUUUGAUCACUAUUAUAAGAGUGUCUUCUUCUGCAUGGACUUAGUCAAUUUUAUCUUAUUUCUUAGGUGUUUGGUUACUUUAGUGAGCUUUCAAGACCUCAUACAUUACUCAUAAAAUGGAAAGUGGACACUAUCUAGUUUUUGGUCUUCAUCACGCUAUGGCUUGGAUCUCUGCUUCUGUGAUCUUUAAAUCUGAGUAAGUGUAUGGCAAGGCUACAUAGGAGAGACUGAUUGGCUUACUGAGAAGGCUGUCCUCAAGGGGUAAUAUCAGACUCAUUUGGAAACCUAGUUUUAAAGUACAUAAUUCUUUGCAUGGCUAAUCGUUUUGAGAUAUGGCUGCCAAAGUUAGAUAAGUAGUACACAAUACUUUUAAUAAACCUUAUGGUAACAAUUAACCAAAACCCACUGCAGUCGAGUCCAUCCUGACUCAUAGCGAUGCUAUAGGACAGAGUAGAACUGCUCCAUAGAGUUUCCAAGGAGCACCUGGCAGAUUUGAGCUGCUGACCCUUUGGUUGGCAGCCAUAGCACUUAACCGCUAUGCCACCAGGGUUUCCGUGAUAAUAAUUACAAUGACUAAAAAGAGUAAAACAGCCUAAAAUAGAUUGUAAGUAAGAAUUAACAUUUUGAGGGAGCAAGCUGAAAAGAUUAAAAAAGAAAGGAAUAGUCAUAGGAGGAAUGAUGAGUAACUAGAUGGCCUUAAGGUGCGUUUUAAUAAUAUCUUGUUCUACUUUUCUAGAGAUGUUAAUCCAUGAGCAGCAAGAGGUAUUGGUGAUAGCACAGACUCCUCUUUGUUGUGCUAAUAAAAAACUAAAGCUAUUCUCUUAUCAAGGACUACCUUGAUGAGGGAUUCUAAAGAUUUUUGUUGAGUUGUCAUUCCAUCGGUAAUAUUAUUAGCAAUUUGGGCCUUGGUAACAGAUACAAUGUGAAUAGACUUCUCUAAUUGUAAUAUGCUAUAUGUGGGAACAAAUGCCCAAAGAAAUGACUAGCCCCAUCCAGGUCUAUCAGUGAUGGGAUUAUUUGGGAAAAUAAGUUCUCUCCUGUGUGCAGUUAUUAAUUUUAAUUCACUGGUCUAAUAUAAACUAUCAUUACAUGAAUGGAUAUUUAAUAGAAUUCUGAGGGUACCUGCAGUGCAAUGACCCUGCAUAUUCCAACCAUCUAAAUAUGGCAAGACCUAAUUAAAAAAAACCUGUUGCCAUUGAGUUGAUUUUGACUCAUAGCGACCCUAAAGGACAGAGUAGAACUGCCCCAUAGGGUUUCCAGGGAGUACCUGGUGGAUUCAAACUGCCGACCUUUUGGUUAGCAGCUGUAGCUCUUAACCACUGUGCCACCACGGUUUCCAAGGUCUAAAUAUAAGGUUCAAAAUUGGAUUUCUUUCUUAAAUAAGUAGAUCCCAUAGAUAAUAGAUAAGAAAAACAUAUCUAUAUGGAGCAGAUAAUGUGUCAAUCCUGGUUUGUUUAUUGGGAAAGGAAAUGUUUUGAUAGACUUUUUGAGCCAACCUUCAGUUAAUGAAUUGUUAUAAAUGGACAAACCUCUAAAUUCUAGAUGGUCUCUGAGUUGGGUACAAAUUAGAAAAAUUUGGUCAUUAGCAUGACUGCUAUUUACUAAUGAAGGCUAAUAUUGGGAAUUACCCAUUAAAAAAAGGCAUUGUUCAGGCCUGGAGCAUCUGGUGGGAUCUACUCAAAAAUGAGUGAGGUUAAAACAAGGUGCUAAUGGAUAGGUUGAUAAUUCUGGAGGAUGCUAUAAUUUGACAUGAAUGACUCAUUUGAAUAGUUUUUCAAAAUCAAUAGUAAAGUUAGGUAUGAAUUUAAAACUGGGAAGGCAAGAGGAUAAAUAAGGUCUUGUACAGAUUGAGGAGAGGAGUGACAUAUGCAACAGUCAAUUAAAUUGCUGGUGUUACCAAAUGACUGAGCUAACUUAAUAAGGGCAUUGUCUUUCUAAGUGUUAAUGGAGGUUAUUAGAAGCAGUAAGGUAAAAUUCAAGUAAAGCUUUAUAAUGAAGAAAAACUAUUCAGAAAUAAUACAAUAAGGCAAAGAGUGUAAGAAUAAUCGCAACAAUAAAGCAGGUUCUACAAAUAUCUAUCAUAAAAGCUACCAGGAAAUAAACCCAAGUUGGUGGAAUAAAGCUUUUUCAAAUACUGUAAGUAUUAAACAGAGUGCAAUGACUUCAAUAAUUAGUAUUACCGAGGAAGUAAAUUGCAAGAGUGAAGUAUAGCUAAUAAAUAAGAAAAGCUACUAUUAUGAAACACCAAAAACAAACAAAAAAACCAAACUAAACCCGUUGCCGUCAACUCGGUUCCAACUCAUAGCAACCCUAUUGGACAGUGAAGAACUCACCCAUAGGGUUUCCAAGGAGCGGCCGGUGGAUUUGAACUGCUGACUUUUGGUUAGCAGCUGAGCUCUUAACCACUAUGUCACCAGGGCUCCAUUACAAAACAAAGUCUAAAAAUUUCCACAAGUUGCCUGAGGCCUUGUUCCGUGAUCUUGGGAGUAGUCAUCUAAUUUAGAUGUCGUUUGCAUCUGGCCACAAGGGUGUUUAAGGAUAACCUUCAAGUUUCCAGGUGGCUGGUAAGCCUAAGCUUCUACCUAGUGUGAAAACCUGCAGGUCACGACAAGCAUGUAUUUAUAGCCAUUUGAAGGUGAGAGCUGUAUGAAGUCUAGUUGCCAUUCUAACAUAGGCCCAAAGGGUAAGGGGUAUCACUUAGGUGAGAUUUUAAGACACUUCGAUGAGUUGUGAUGACAGCAGGUGAAAUAAUGUGAAACUUUAUGUGCUGCGGCUUCAAAAUCUUAUUACUAAUUUUUUUUUUUAAGGUUUCAAUCAUCUUAUCCUAGGUGAGUAUUGAUAUGUAGAGGUCGAAUCAUAGGGACAUAGAGGGAUCUGGGCAAAAUGAACUUCUGAUUGGGUCCUAACCAUAACUUAGUGGUAGGAUCUUGGUAACAAUCUUCCUUUUCCGUAUUUCGAUUCAUCAAGCUGAGCUAAUAGCUGUCAUUUUAAAGGACUUUCUGAAGUUAUUUCAUGAAGACUGGAGUCCUCUAUGAAUAAACCUGAGGGACUUCUUUUUCAAGAGUCCCUUCCAUAAUGUCCCCAGCUAUUACAGGGGUCAUGAUAAUUUUGGAUGUAGCCUGCUUUGCUGCUUUAUCAGCUAAAUUAUUUCCUCUGAUUACUUUGGUCUGAGACACUCUCUUUGGCUGACCAGGAAGGAAUUUUUAUAACAGCUAUUUCAGAAGGGAGUAAAAAAGUACCUGAUAAUUAGGGAAACUUAAGGCAUGGGUAUUCAUUAAAGCUUACUACAGUUUGAUUACAGCUUUCCGAUCUUCUGAGUUAAUUUGGAAGGAGCCUGGCUCAGAGGCCUUUAAGUACUUGUAUAAAGGCUGAGCUAAAAGAGAAAAUUUGGAAUCCAGGUUCAGCAGUAGCCACAGAGUCCUAGAGAUCCUUGCAGUUGUUUCUUAGUUCCAGGUAUAGGGAAAGAAAAAAUAGCUUUUUUUUCAUUUAGGAUCAAUAGAAAUACCUUCUGCAGAGAUUAAAUAACCUAAAUACUUAACAGAAAGCUGCACCAAUUGUAGUAUUUUUUUUUUUUUUAGAAAUUUUGUGUCCUCUGGCAGAUAAAUGUUUUGACAAGAUUACACUAUAGUUAAGGCAAGGCUGUUGGGAGCCAGAACAGACUAGUGAAUCUUCAACAUAUUGCAGCAAUGUGGACUUACUGGCAAAAUGUAAGUACUUAAAGGCCUCUCUCUGCCACUUUACCAAUUCUGACACCAACCAUCCCUCCCAAGGCACUCUUGAUUUCUGUGCUGGGUUUGAUAAUUAAUUGGAAUGGCCACACAGAACGCACAAUAUGUGGUUUAUUAGGGAAAUAACAGGUUACAAUUCAAGGAGAGGAAUGCUCAGAAUACAGCUCUUCCAUCAGGAUAAUCUCUUCUCAGCUGUGCUCACAGACAUGCUUCUCUCUGGCCUUUCAGCCUUUUCCCUGCUUGGGCAAGUUUUACAAACCCCUUUUAGCUCUGCUGAUGAGUGUCCUGAGGGACUCCGCUCUGCCAGUAAGCCUUGGCCUGAAGGUGCUCAGUGUGAACUCUGUGGGUCAGGAAACCUAGCUCCACCAAGUACCUGGAGGAACCCUACUCCUCCAGCAAGCCUCCUACCUGAAGGGAUUCAGCUUUCUCACUCCUUGGGAUGGAAAGCCCACUUCGCCAUCUCCUACUGGUCUCUCCUGCCAUUGUUUCUCUGCCACUGAUUCUUACCGUCUUCAGUGUUAUGGCUCUCUCUCUCUCUUAGUCUCCUGGUUCCAGGAGCUUCUCAGCACAGGGAUUCCAGGUCCAAAGGACGUGCUCUGCUCUAGGCUCUUCUUCCUUGGUGGUGAUGAGAUCCUCUC